RNAcentral lists this unclassified non-coding RNA (428 nucleotides) under Hevea brasiliensis (rubber tree). The record is from RNAcentral. Lineage: Eukaryota; Viridiplantae; Streptophyta; Magnoliopsida; Malpighiales; Euphorbiaceae.
GUUUUAUCGGAUCAUCAUUCCCUCUAAUACCACUUUAUUCUCCUAACAAUUCCUUCAAGUUUUCAUCUUUAACAAUGGCCGCUUGUAUUCACGCUUCAAGAACCAAAAAUCCACCAAAAAACCCACUUUCUCGUGACCCAAACAAGCCACAAAUCGAUAACCAUGUCUACAAUUACGUCAAAUACUGCCGACCCACUUUCCCUGACCUUGUUUCCUGCAAACCCUUUUCAGAAAAAAGCUCGAAAAUCGAGGAAUUGGGAGAUGAGUUAUGGCUGAAAAUGAAAGAGGAAGCUAGGUCAGAUAUUGACCAAGAACCAAUUUUGUCUAGUUAUUACGUUUCUUCAAUUCUAGCUCAUGAAUCCAUGGAGAGAGCUUUAGCUAAUCAUCUUUCUAUGAAAUUGGGUAAUCCUAAUCUUCCUAGUACUACU